AUGAAGCUGGAAUCGCUAGUAAUCGCGAAUCAGAAUGUCGCGGUGAAUACGUUCCCGGGUCUUGUACACACCGCCCGUCACACCAUGGGAGUCGGAAAUGCCCGAAGUCAGUGACCUAACCGAAAGGGAGGAGCUGCCGAAGGUGGAGCCGGUAACUGGGGUGAAGUCGUAACAAGGUAGC
This 181-nucleotide ribosomal RNA is filed under the name uncultured bacterium. RNAcentral's name for it is "partial 16S ribosomal RNA". It matches the Rfam family "Bacterial small subunit ribosomal RNA", at positions 1320 to 1500 of the family's 1533-position model. The record is from RNAcentral.